AUUGAACGCUGGCGGCAGGCCUAACACAUGCAAGUCGAACGAGUGGCAGACGGGUGAGUAAUGUCUGGGAAACUGCCCGAUGGAGGGGGCUAACUACUGGAAACGGUAGCUAAUACAGCAUACCAUCGGAUGUUCCCAGAUGGGAUUAGCUAGUAGGUGGGGUAAAGGCUCACCUAGGCGAAGAUCCCUAGCUGGUCUGAGAGGAUGACCAGCCACACUGGAACUGAGACACGGUCCAGACGCCUACGGUAGGCAGCAGUGGGGAAUAGUGCACAAUGGGCGCAAGCCUGAUGCAGCCAUGCCGCGUGUAUGAAGAAGGCCUUCGGGUUGUAAAGUACUUGCAGCGGGGAGGCGUUACCCGCAGAAGAAGCACCGGCUAACUCCGUGCCAGCAGCCGCGGUAAUAC
This 406-nucleotide ribosomal RNA is filed under the name uncultured bacterium. RNAcentral's name for it is "partial 16S ribosomal RNA". It matches the Rfam family "Bacterial small subunit ribosomal RNA", at positions 30 to 526 of the family's 1533-position model. The record is from RNAcentral.